This 510-nucleotide ribosomal RNA is filed under the name Pichia kudriavzevii. RNAcentral describes it as "LSU rRNA". It matches the Rfam family "Eukaryotic large subunit ribosomal RNA", at positions 62 to 638 of the family's 3401-position model. The record is from RNAcentral. Lineage: Eukaryota; Fungi; Ascomycota; Pichiomycetes; Pichiales; Pichiaceae.
AAACCAACAGGGAUUGCCUCAGUAGCGGCGAGUGAAGCGGCAAGAGCUCAGAUUUGAAAUCGUGCUUUGCGGCACGAGUUGUAGAUUGCAGGUUGGAGUCUGUGUGGAAGGCGGUGUCCAAGUCCCUUGGAACAGGGCGCCCAGGAGGGUGAGAGCCCCGUGGGAUGCCGGCGGAAGCAGUGAGGCCCUUCUGACGAGUCGAGUUGUUUGGGAAUGCAGCUCCAAGCGGGUGGUAAAUUCCAUCUAAGGCUAAAUACUGGCGAGAGACCGAUAGCGAACAAGUACUGUGAAGGAAAGAUGAAAAGCACUUUGAAAAGAGAGUGAAACAGCACGUGAAAUUGUUGAAAGGGAAGGGUAUUGCGCCCGACAUGGGGAUUGCGCACCGCUGCCUCUCGUGGGCGGCGCUCUGGGCUUUCCCUGGGCCAGCAUCGGUUCUUGCUGCAGGAGAAGGGGUUCUGGAACGUGGCUCUUCGGAGUGUUAUAGCCAGGGCCAGAUGCUGCGUGCGGGGA